UAAUCUCACACCCUCAGACUUUUGUCAAAAGGGAAGUGGACUUGGAUGCUGUCGUGUCACUACGACUCGUCUCAAAUGCAUGAGUGUACCCUGCGUCCGCAGCGUAUUCGGUGUGAUAAGCAUCUUCACCGGAGUGGUGCCCUCGGGCUCGCGCUUGCAAAUGUUGGGCUCUGCGCUUCAAACCGUCUUCGGACAAUGACUGACA
RNAcentral lists this unclassified non-coding RNA (205 nucleotides) under uncultured Sebacinaceae. RNAcentral's name for it is "sequence contains ITS2". Lineage: Eukaryota; Fungi; Basidiomycota; Agaricomycetes; Sebacinales; Sebacinaceae. The record is from RNAcentral.